Molecule: long non-coding RNA, 509 nt
Organism: Lagenorhynchus albirostris (white-beaked dolphin)
Lineage: Eukaryota; Metazoa; Chordata; Mammalia; Artiodactyla; Delphinidae
Exons: 2
Source: RefSeq, a predicted model, not a curated record
AUUACCAGGCUACGCUAAUCUAAAUUUGAGAUAGUCUUCAAUGGAUUGCCUAGCUAGUGAGUUACAUCUUUUUUUGGAAGGAAGGGAUUGCCGUGUAUAGCCUGCCAAACUCCUGAUUUUACAAGUUCACAGGGACACAGUUUCAAGCCCUGGUUUGGGAAGAUCCCACAUGCCGUGGAGCAACUGGGCCUGUGAGCCACAACUACUGAGCCUGCGCAUCUAGAGCUUGUGCUCCACAACAAGACAGGCCGCGACAGUGAGAGUCCCGCACACUGCGAUGAAGAGUGGUCCCCGCUCGCCACAACUAGAGAAAGCCCACGCACAGAAACGAAGACCCAACACAGCCAAAAAUACAUAAAUAAAUAAGUUUUUUUAAAAAAAGAAUGUAUAUAAGUAAAAAAAACAAAACAAAAGAAUGUAUACAAGUAAUCCAGCAAUUGCAACUGUGUAGUAUUUAGCACAUAUCUGCCAUCUACUAAGAACUCAAUAAAUAAGUGAAUUUAUGUCUA